GGAGGGUGCAAGCGUUAAUCGGAAUUACUGGGCGUAAAGCGCACGCAGGCGGUCUGUCAAGUCGGAUGUGAAAUCCCCGGGCUCAACCUGGGAACUGCAUUUGUGACUGCAAGGCUAGAGUACGGCAGAGGGGGAUGGAAUUCCNAAAANAACANUGAAAUGCGUAGAUAUGCGGAGGAACACCGAUGGCGAAGGCAAUCCCCUGGGCCUGUACUGACGCUCAUGCACGAAAGCGUGGGGAGCAAACAGGAUUAGAUACCCUGGUAGUCCACGCCCUAAACGAUGUCAACUGGUUGUUGGACGGCUUGCUGUUCAGUAACGAAGCUAACGCGUGAAGUUGACCGCCUGGGGAGU
RNAcentral lists this ribosomal RNA (354 nucleotides) under uncultured bacterium. RNAcentral describes it as "bacterial SSU rRNA". It matches the Rfam family "Bacterial small subunit ribosomal RNA", at positions 527 to 881 of the family's 1533-position model. The record is from RNAcentral.